GAGGGUAUAGCUCAGUGGUAGAGUGCGUGCUUAGUGUGCAUGAGGUCCUGGGUUCAAUCCCCAGUACCUCCA
RNAcentral lists this transfer RNA (72 nucleotides) under Camelus bactrianus (Bactrian camel). It matches the Rfam family "tRNA". From Rfam's summary of the family: Transfer RNA (tRNA) molecules are approximately 80 nucleotides in length. RNAcentral also lists the same sequence under 1 other name. The record is from Rfam by way of RNAcentral. Lineage: Eukaryota; Metazoa; Chordata; Mammalia; Artiodactyla; Camelidae.